This 687-nucleotide ribosomal RNA is filed under the name Victoria cruziana (Santa Cruz water-lily). RNAcentral describes it as "eukaryotic LSU rRNA". The stretch from base 294 to 449 matches the Rfam family "5.8S ribosomal RNA". The record is from RNAcentral. Lineage: Eukaryota; Viridiplantae; Streptophyta; Magnoliopsida; Nymphaeales; Nymphaeaceae.
GUUUCCGUAGGAGAACCUGCGGAAGGAUCAUUGUCGUUUCCUAUUCGACAGACAAGAGAACAAGUUAUCCUUGGUCGCUAUAGCAGAAUGAGCUUUCACCUUUUAGGGGGUGUUGAUCUUUUUCUGCUGUUGACAUUGCGCAUGUUCGUCCCAAUGCGGUCGUACUUGUUCAUUGUCAAAACAACAAAAUCGGCGCUUUGAAGCGUCAAGGAACAAUAUUUUAAUGAAUGUAGAUGUGGCAACCAGUCCACAGCAUAUGUGGCCGGAUGCCUAUCUGCCUUCUAACCAAUGAUGACUCUCGGCAACGGAUAUCUUGGCUCCCGCCACGAUGAAGAACGUAGCGUAAUGCGAUACUUGGUGUGAAUUGCAGAAUCCCGUGAAUCAUCGAGUUUUUGAACGCAAGUUGCGCCCGAGGCCAUCCGGCCGAGGGCACGUCUGCCUGGGCGUCACACGUAGCAUCGCCUCCCAACAGAUUUUAUGGGAGAGCGGAGGAUUGGCCUUCGGUGUCAUCUUUGAAUGAUGCCGUCGGUUGAAAUUGCAAACCUUUCGAUUUGUAGUGAGGUACAAGCGGUGGACUUCCAUUUGGUUGCAUCUCACGUGAACAAAGGUAAUGGGACAUGGGGGUGAGCUUUCUUGCCUUCAGCUUUGCGACCCCAGGUCAGUCGAGACUACCCGCUGAGUUUAAGC